GGAAUUGUUCACAAUGGGCGCAAGCCUGAUGACGCAACGCCGCGUGGAGGAUGAAGGUCUUCGGAUUGUAAACUCCUGUUGCCCGGGACGAACGGCCCCAACCUAAUACGUUGGAGAGUGACGGUACCGGGUGAGGAAGCCCCGGCUAACUCCGUGCCAGCAGCCGCGGUAAUACGGAGGGGGCAAGCGUUGUUCGGAAUUACUGGGCGUAAAGGGCUCGUAGGCGGCCAACUAAGUCGGAUGUGAAAUCCCCAGGCUCAACCUGGGAACUGCAUCCGAUACUGGAUGGCUUGAAUCCGGGAGAGGGAUGCAGAAUUCCAGGUGUAGCGGUGAAAUGCGUAGAUAUCUGGAGGAAUACCGGUGGCGAAGGCGGCAUCCUGGACCGGCAUUGACGCUGAGGAGCGAAAGCCAGGGGAGCAAA
This 421-nucleotide ribosomal RNA is filed under the name uncultured bacterium. RNAcentral's name for it is "bacterial SSU rRNA". It matches the Rfam family "Bacterial small subunit ribosomal RNA", at positions 358 to 772 of the family's 1533-position model. The record is from RNAcentral.